CGAGAUCAUACCACUGCAUUCCAGCCUGGGCAACAGAGCCAGACUCUGUCUCAAAAAAAAAGAGUAAUCAAAAAGCUACAUUAUUUAAAUCUUGGCAUGUCUUUAAAAAAUGUUAAACUGUCAGGAAAAUUAUCACUUCUGGAUACCACCUUCAGAAAAACACAUGAAAAUUUGUGCAUGUCUCAAAUAGUUGUUAAUUUAUGAAAAAUUAGAAAGAGUGUUUGAAUGUAUAUUUCUGUCAUAUUAUAUUGCUCAUAUUUUUAAAUUAUACUUUUUUUCACCCGUGAAGCCCAUAUAGUUAAGUUUGAAAAUUUUAAUUAUAUUAGAAUUUGAAAAUUAAAUAAAUCUCCUUUAAUUCAUGCAUAAUUUUCUAAUAGUCAUAUAGUUUGUAUUAUAUAAUUUGAGAAACUUGGUUCUAAAAAAAUUGUCUGCCAAAGAAUGUAUAUUUCUGAAUUCUGUUCUGCUUUCAUACAUCUGAAAAUAUUUGAGCUAUCAUAACUGGCUAUGCUUCAAACCCAGUCUGAAAUGGGUGACCUUUGCUGGCUUUGGAUUGCAGAGCUGGGGGCUGUUGUUUGCUUUAUCUGAUUUAAAAUAGUCAGUAGUUUAUUUUGCAGGCAGUUAGAUGUAUACCUUUGCAUAAAAUCAUUGAACUGAAAAGGUUGGCACUCCAAGAAUACGUUGUGAGAAAAGAGAACUUGAGUACUCACUCUCGACUCACCUGAAUCUUAUUAAUAUUUUAUUGAUUAAUAUCUGUUGUAUUUUUAAGUAAAUAAGCUCUCUAGAAACUAUCUCUGCUUCUUUGUUCAUUUAAAAUAUAUUAAACAAAUUGAUACAGAUUGCAAAAAUUAGUUGCAACGUUCCUAGUUAGAUAUCAAUGAAAUAAAAAUGGUCUAUUCAUACGAGUUCAUUUUAGUUAUUCCUACUAAUAUCAAAUGUGUUUUAAAAAAUGGGAGAUUAUAAUCUUUUUAUGAAGUAAGAUAAAUUAUUACUUUGUAUAUUUAAUUCAAAGAAAACAAAAAGGCCACAAGUGCCUGCAUAAAGGCACAUCCACUUAGGAUUAUUGUUAAGGCCUACAGUUGAUAAUUAGGAUUCAGGCAUAGCAUAAAUGAAGUGGUAUCUUUUUUUUUUUUUUUUUUUUUGAGACGAAGUCUCGCUCUGUUGUCCAGGCUGGAGUGCAGUGGCACGGUCUCGGCUCACUGCAAGCUCUGCCUCCCUCCUGGGUUCACGCCAUUCUCCUCCCUCAGCCUCCCGAGUAGCUGGGACUACAGGCUUCCGCCACCACUCCCAGCUACGUUUUUUUGUAUUUUUGGUAGAGACAGGGUUUCACCAUGUUAGCCAGGAUGGUCUUGAUCUCCUGACCUCAUGAUCCACCCGUCUCGGCCUCCCAAAGUGCUGGGAUUACAGGCAUGAGCCACCGCGCCCAGCCAGAUAUCAAUUAUUUUUAGACCCAAUGAUAUUUGCUGUUGAUUUAUUGUUGGUGCACAAAAUAAGAAAACAAAAGCAUGGUUUUAAAACAGCCCUUUACACAUUUAAUAUGGAAAUGGUAACCUACAGGUCUGUAUUCCAUACAGAUUCCUGGGCUCAUUUUAUCUGUGAAUUCCUCUGGGCGUCAUGCAUGCCCAGGACUGACUUUAAAGCAGAAUUAUCCAGUAGAGGUAUAAUAGGACCGUUAGAUCUAAUUUAAAGUUUUCAAGUAGCCACAUAAAAAAAUAAGCAGGCGAAAUUAAUUUUAGUCUGUCACUAAAUUCAAAAUGUUAUUUCAACAGGGGGUCAAUAUAAAAGCUAUUUAUGAAAUACAUUAUUUUUUCAUAUUAUGUCUUCAAAAUGUUCACAUUUCACAUAUUUAUUUUUUAUUUUAUUAUUACUAUUUUUUUGAGACGGAGUCUCACUCAGUCGGUUGCCCAGGCUAGAGUGCAAUCUAGCUUGCUCAUUGCAAUCUUGGCUCAUUGCAACCUCCACCUCCUGGGUUCAAGCAGUUUUCCUGCCUCAGCCUCCUGAGUAGCUGGGAUUACAGGCGUGUGCCAUCACACCCAGCUAAUUUUUUUAUUUUUGGUAGGGAUGAGAUUUCACCAUGUUGGCCAGGCUGGUCUUGAACUCCUGACCUCAAGUGACUUGCCGCUUUGGCCUCCCAAAGUGCCGGGAUUACAGUUGUGAGCCACCGCACCUGAUUACAUAUUUCACAUAUUUUAAUUCAGACCAGCUGCAUGUCAAGUACUUAGUAGCCACAGAUGGCUAGUGGUUACUGUAUUGGACAGUGCAGCUCUAGGAGAGUCUCUUCAACCUGCAGCUGUCUAGGAAGAGAAUCAUAGUUUCUGGAACAGGUAGAAUCUAUAAGACCUCCUUUUUAAGCUUCUCCACUUUACAGAUGAAGAAAGUAAUAUCUGGAGAUGUUGAGUUGUUCAAAAUCACCCACAUUUUAAGGAUCAAGAGCCCAGUCCCUGUUCUCUAACUUCUAAUCUCUUUCUUCAUCACUUUUUCUGCUUCAUGUUGCUGCAUCCCCUUUAGUUACUAAGGUACUAACGUUAGGUUGUUGCUAUCAGUUAAAUAUUAAGCCAGGAGCUUUAAGACAAUCUGGCCCACUUGAAGGCAUGGCCUGAUUUGGACAAAACUUGUGGGGUAGGAUGAAUAGAGUUACCAGGCAUAUCUUCAACCUCUCUGUGGACUAGUAUUAUACAUAUAUGAGAUGAUGUAGGGUCCAGUGAUCAGUUCAUCUUUUUCUAUUGUGAGCACUGUUGGAAUAGGAAUGGGGGGACCUUUUGGGACCCAGGAUAUGUGAUUCUGAACCCUGAAAUGUCAGAUGCCCACUAAAAGGAAGGGGAGAGAUGGACCUGUCAUUACCUUACACAUUUUAUUGUCUGUAUGGGUAUGUAAACAUGUACAGAUUAUAAGGAAUUGCACUUCAUUUCUGGGCUUCUGGAAACACAGGUAUUAAGAUUUCAUUUACCUCCCCUUGUUUUGGAAGGCUUAUUGUGUGUGUGCCCAUAGUUCUUACCCAGUUACACUUAAAGUAUGAUACUUUUUGACAGCUUAAGCCUAUUGCAUUCCUGGCAUGUAAAAUAGUUAUUUUCAGAAUGUAAGCAAAUGUGGAAAGCUUACUGCCUGACAUGGAGGGUUGGAGAAGUGGGAUUGGUGUUCUUUUGUUGUAAACUCAUUUUUGUGAAAUAUUUGCUUUACAACGUGAAGCAUGCAUGAUGGAUGAACUUUUAGAAUUGAAAGUUAUUUUUCAUUUCAUUCCUGAAAUAUUUACCAGCAUGGAUGUUGACUGAGUGCUUUGAAGAGUUUGCUUAGUCAUAUAACUUAGGUUUUAUGAUUUUAGAUUUAAUUAAACUUAAAGUUUUCCUGUUUGAUCCUCAGGACUUCUCAUCUGUGGCAAGGCUUUACUCACAAAGGAAAUAUCAACCUUGAAGUUAAGCAUGCCCUGUGUUUCUUUAUAUUCUGAUGAAAACGAUUGAAGUUUGCCAGUGCUGUGUCUGGGACAAUGCUUAGAGGAUUCAUGGCUUGUAGGAAUGAGUUAAAAGUACAAGGAUAUUGGCUGGCAUGGUGACUGUCGCCUGUAGUCCCAAAACUUUGAGAGUCUGAGGUCAGAGGAUUGCUUGAGCUCAGGAGUUUGAGACAAGCCUGGGCAGCAUAAGGAGAUCCCAUCUCUAUGUUUUUUAAAAAAGUGAAAAACAACAACAACAACAAGGUACAGGGGUAUCUGCGUUUCCUUAGGCAGCUGUCUUAUAUACCUUUAACCUUAAAAAAAUCCACCAUUUUUAAAACAGUGUUUUCUGUUGUUUUUCUUAGUAAAUAUAAACAAUAGGAACUGAAGUUUAGGGCUUAAAAUUUUUGAGAGAAUAAUUUUUAUUUCAGUAGCUUUUGGGGUACAAGUGGUUUCUUGUUACUUAGUUGAAUUACGUAGUGGUGAAUUCUGAGAUUUUAGUGCACUUAAGUAGGGUACCUUGUACCUAAUGUCUAGUUUUUCUUUUAAUCCCUAGUCCCCUAUUACCCUCCUCCUCGUGAGUCUCUAAAGUCCAAUAUGUCCCUCUGUGUGCCUUUGCUUAUUCCUAACUUAGUUCCCACUUAUAAGAGAGAACAUACGGUUUUUGGUUUUCCAAUUCCUGAAUUACUUUACUUAGAAUAAUGGCCUCCAGCUCUAUCCAAGUUGUUGCAAAAGACAUUAUUUUGUUCCUUGUAAUGGCUGAGUAGUAGUCCCUGAUAUAUAUAUGCCACAUCUUCUUUAUCCUCUCAUUAGUCAGUGGCCACUUAGGUUGGUUCUGCAUCUUUGCAUUUGUGAAUUGUGGUCCUGUAAACAUAUGUGUACAAGUGUCUUUUUCAUACAAUGACUUCUUUUCCUCCGGGUAGAUACCCAGUAUUAAGAUUGCUGGAUCAAAUGGUAGAUCUACUUUUAACUCUUUAGGAAAUCUCCAUAAUGUUUUCCAUAGAGGUGGUACUAGUUUACAUUCUGAGAGAAUAAUUUUUGUAAAAUUAUGUUUAAGCUAGAUUUGGAAUUGGGAAAGAAUUACAUUCUUUAUAGGAAGCUUUUGAAAAAUAUAUUUAAAAAUAUAUAAAAAUAUGCAUAAUCCUACCACCCACAAAUGUCUGUAUUAUUAUGUCAUUUCUAAACCAUUUUUGAGAUUAUGCUAUAGAUUACGUUUUAGAUCCUACAUUUUAUUUCUUAACAUUAAAUCUCAUACUAUUUUAAGUUCUUUGUACAUGUAAUGUUUACUGAAUGGGUAAAUCUGUUUAGGGAAACUGGAGCUAUGUAGUUGUGGACUUGUGCUUUUGUUUUGUUUUGUUUUGUUUGUUUGUACAUUUGCUUUUUAGAAAUGUCUAUUCAGAUCCUUGGCCCAUUUUUUUUUUUUUUUUUUUUUUUGAGAUGGAGUCUUGCUCUGUCGCCCAGACUGGAGUGCAGUGGCGCGAUCUCGGCUCACUGCAAGCUCCGCCUCCCGGGUUCACGCCAUUCUCCCGCCUCAGCCUCCCGAGUAGCUGGGACUACGGGCGCCCGCCACCACGCCCGGCUAAUUUUGUUUUUGUUUUGUAUUUUUAGUAGAGAUAGGGUUUCACCAUGUUGGCCAGGAUGGUCUUGAUCUCCUGACCUCGUGAUCCCCCCGCCUCGGCCUCCCAAAGUGCUGGGAUUACAGGCGUGAGCCACCGUGCCCAGACAGACAUGUGCUUUUUUAUUUGGCAUUUCUAGCCUGAACAUAGGCUGGAAGUAGUGACUUAGAGAGGGAUUGUUUGCCAAAUAUCAGGUAAUAUUUUAAUUAUUUAUUAUUUAUUGUAAUGCUGUGAAUCAGGAGUCCCUAACCCCUGGGCCAUGGACUGGUACCGGUCUGUGGCGUGUUAGGAGCUUUGCUGCACAGCAGUAGGUGAGCAAUGGGUGAGUGAGUGUUGCUGCCUGAGCCCUGCCUCUUGUCACAUCAGCAGGGCAUUAGAUGCUCAUAGGAGCGCAAACCCUAUUGUGAACCGCAUGUAAGAAAGUGAGAGCUGCGUUGCACACUCCUUAUUAGAAUCUAAUGCCUGAUGAUCUGAGGUGGAGCAGUUUCAUCCCGAAACCAAACCACAAAAUUGUCUUUCAUCAAACCAUUCCCUGGUGCCAGAAAGGCUGGGGACCACUGCUAUAAAUUGCUGCUGUCAAGUAGUGUUACGCAUGGUGGUCUUUAACAUAAAAAAAAAAGGUAAUGAACGUACACCACACAGAUUAGCAAAAAUAAGGAAAGGCUGAUCUAGUAGUUCAAACAAGCAAUCCUCUUAUUUAAUGGUUCUGUGAUUGCUCGUGUAGGCAGAAGCUUAACUGUAAGUUGUUGCAUUUGACAGGCAAAUGUAGCUGGAGCUGGAAUGUAGAUAUUAGUGAAAUUGUGAUUUCAGUUUACUGGAGCCAUUCAGUGGGAGCAUGAAGUGGGUUACAUGAUUACACGGAUAUAAAUAAAGCGUCCUCCUUGCCACUUCACUGCUGUUAAAGUCUCUCCUGAUGUUAUGUGGUGAAAAACAAGUCAAAAACAUUAAUUCUGUCAAGUUUCCAAAGAUAUAAGAAUCUUUGACCAGAAAAGAGACGGUAUUUAUCUUCAAAUUUAACAAAUUGUGAUGAAAUGCUGCUGUUACAGAACCUAGUGUAAGGUCGUGGAGUCCAUUCAGCCAGACACAUGUAAUUUUGAUUAUUAACUGCCGUUUCUGUGGUCAGUCGGCCAGUUUUAUAUAUUUCACAUUAUAGGUAUUUGGAGCAAAGACAGUGUUGUUUAUUGUUUACUUUAAAAAAAUACAAUACUGUAACUACAUAAUGAGUAAAUGUUGAUACUGUUGAAAACUAAUAAAAACAAAUUCUUACACUAUCAACAUCACAGAAAUUCUAAUUGUAAGAAAAUAUUGAUAUAAUAUGGAAAUCCGUUCAUUUAUUUGGUGCAUUAAUUGAACACCAACACUAUGCCAAGCAUUGGGAUACAACCAUGAAAGAGGCCAGCUUCCUGAUCUCACAGAGCUUGUACUUUGUUGGGUGGGGCAGAGAGCAAAUCAGUCAAUCUGUCUGUCUGUCUGUCUAUCUAUCUGUCUAUCUAUCUGUCUAUCUAGAUGUCAAUCAGUAUACUCUGUGCCACUUGGUGGUCAGUGCUAUGAAGAAAAAUUAAGCCAGUGAGGAGCUGGAUAGAGACACAGUCUGGAAGGGUAUGAAGGGGAUCAGAAUAUGCUACCCCCAAAUAUGCCAUUUCAGCAAAGUACUAAUUUGAGCUGAAGACAAUCGAGAAAUAGCAGACCCAGGACAAGCUUUACCCCCUUUUUAUAAAAAUUUUGCUGUGUGAAGGUAUCCUCCUUCCCCUCUCCAUCCCUGGAGAGACCACUAGAGGUGGCACCAUCGCCUGCAGAAACAAACCUUAUUGAAAUAACCCUUAUCUUCUAUUAGUUUCCCCCAUAUAUUUACCUUACCACACUUCCCCUGGAAGCCCUAAUCCCCUCUCCUUUGUCUUGUGACUUCUCCACAGUUUAUUGCUCUUUGUUAAAAUGGUGUGUAUGCUCUCAGGCCUAACUGCUUCUUUUGGGUUUUUGCUUUUCUGUGGAGCUCCCUCCUCUCCCCUCCCUCAUGUAAAAAUAAUAACAUUAAAUAAAAUUUGUGUUUUUUCCCCUGCGAAUCUGUCUCGUCAGUUUAAUUGGCAAGGCCUCAUGUGCUGAACCUAACAGGGUAGAGAAAAAAGGUUUUUUUCCCCUUUUCUACAAGUAUUAAACCUGGAGAGAACAAUACAGUGUAAAGGCUGUGAGGUGGGAGCAUGCUGGGGUGUUGGAAGAAGCACAUGAGCUUACAAACAUUCCAUCAAUUUGCAUUCAUUCCAAAAAUUGUAUGCAAUUUUUCAGUGACGAUUCCCAUUGAUCAAUCAUUUAUAAAAACUAAUGGUGAGGGUCUUCCAUACUCAGUUUACUCCCUUCUUGGAAAAGAAUGUACAUUUUAAUCAAGAUGAUUUCAUGAAAGACAUUCUGUACUCCAAACAUUUAAAAGAGCGUUUAGAGUAUACAGCAAUUCAUCUUUUCUUCUGUAUUUUAAAAUUUAAGACAGGGAGAAUUAUUGUAUUAUACUUAGUUCAGAUUUGGUGGUGGUUUUGUUUUUUGGUUCCAGUGAAAAGAAAUUGCAUCAGUAACCUGGCGGUCAACCGUGCCAUAUUGUUUGUGAUUUAUUAGUCUGGAAAAAAUAACUGUAUUUCUGGCAUAUGUAAAAAUAGUUUGCUGAGAGGCCUCCUUGGUUGUGGCAAUAGUAAUACUAAUUACCAGGUACUGUAUGUAGCUCAUUCUAUGAACCAGGCCUUGUUGAAAAGUGCUUUCACUUAAUUUUUUCUUUUCAGCAGCCUGUGAGGUACCUACUGUUAUCCCCAGCUGGGAGGGAGCUGGCCAGUGGACUGGGUUUAAACUAUGUUUUCAUUGUCUUUACUCUUAACCACUUAUCUUCUCUGCCUCCAGCAAAAUAAGUCAAAGAGUUCAGCCAGUGUUUCUUCUUGGACUAAGCAGUCAGCCUCCUAAGUAAGCAAGCCUUGGAAUGCAAUUGAUUGGUGGCCUCUUACUAUCUUUACAUCCAUGUGAAUGUGUGUGCUUUGAUGUGUACAUAUGAGAGACAAGAACAAAAGUAAAUGUCAAAUAUCCGAAUUCCUGUUUCAGUGAGCUUUCACGGAGUAAAUUCUUUUUGUCUACUUGCCUGUGAUCUCUUCUAAUAUGACUUGCGUUAAUGACCUUUAAGAAAUCUUUUAAUAAAAUAAAAAAUUUUAUUAAAAUCUUUUAAUAAAAAAAUUUUAUUAAAAUCUUCUAAUAAAAAAUUUUAUUAAAAUCUUC
Long non-coding RNA from Homo sapiens (human), 8280 nucleotides. RefSeq lists it as uncharacterized. The transcript has 2 exons. The record is from RefSeq and is a predicted model, not a curated record. Lineage: Eukaryota; Metazoa; Chordata; Mammalia; Primates; Hominidae.